GUUCUUGGAAGAAGCAAUCCUUGCAUGCAGGAGAGAGAAGCUUUCCAUGCAAUUUAGUUUCUGAUUUUCGUCACUUUUCUUGGACAGCAAAAAAACCACUUGAUUUUGAUUUUUCUUGGGCUUGUAACUCCAUAAAAUGGGCUGGACAUGUUACCUAACAUCAUGGGUUGAUUUCUAAAUAUUUUCCUUGUCCAUAACUUCAUAAAUCAGCCCACGAUCACAUCAUACUCCUCCUAUUCAAAACCAUUUGUCCUAAAAUCUUGCUCUAUGGAGAAAGAAAACUUGAACACACACUUCCAAAAGAUCUAGAAGAUUUGUUGAACAUAAAUGUAUAAAACUUUUUUUUCUUUGUAGAAGAUGGAUAGAUAAGAAUGAUGGAUAUAGAAGUGAAUACCAAUCUCAAAGUGUUGCUUUGAUACCAAAUGACCAAAACCUCCUGAGGAGUCGACACUCUAAGUUGGUAAAGGGGAUAAGCCCUGCUGCUAUGGAACGUAAAGCUUCAAAGACAAGGGAUGUGGAGUGAAUGGUCCCACGAAUGAUGCAGAAGGCCUUCAAUAUUCCAACUCAAUGCUCUAGGAUAUGACGCACCUAGACGACAAUGAGAAUGAUUCCCUGGAUAUCACGCACCAAGACAAAUCGAAAAAAUCAAUGGAUAUUACACACCAUUGAAAGAAAAGUGAGAGUUCCAAAAAUAAUCACUCAAAAGCUUAUUUUAUUUCAUUAGAGAUUACAACUUAUUUAUAGGAAACUUAACUUGUUGAGAAAGCUAGAUAAUUAAUACAUAGGAAAUCACAAAACAGUGCAUGGAGGAGGGAGAAAGUUCUUGGAAGAAGCAAUCCUUGCAUGCAGGAUAGAGUACCUUUCCAUGCAAUUUAGUUUCUGAUUUUCGUCACUUUUCUUGGACAACAAAGAAACCACUUGAUUUUGAUUUUUUUUGGGACUGUAACUCCAUAAAAUGGGUUGGACAUGUUACCUAACAUCAUGGGUUGAUUUCUAAAUAUUUUUCAUGUCCUGAACUUUAUAAAUAAGCCCAAGAUCACAUCAUACUCCUCCUCUUCAAAA
RNAcentral lists this long non-coding RNA (1062 nucleotides) under Brassica napus (rape). RNAcentral's name for it is "long non-coding RNA (BNAP_LNC004400)". Lineage: Eukaryota; Viridiplantae; Streptophyta; Magnoliopsida; Brassicales; Brassicaceae. The record is from RNAcentral.